UCUCCGUUGGUGAACCAGCGGAGGGAUCAUUGCUGGAACGCGCCCCACGGCGUGCCCAGAUACCCUUUGUGAACUUAUACCUAUACCGUUGCCUCGGCAAGGCUGGGAGACGUCACGUCUCCCCCGUGCUGGGCCCCCCCCGGGGGCGCCCUACGGAGCAGGUCUGCCGGUGGCCCCUUCUAAACUCUUGUUUUCAACAGUACUACCUCUGAGCAAACAAAACAAAAAAUGAAUCAAAACUUUCAACAACGGAUCUCUUGGUUCUGGCAUCGAUGAAGAACGCAGC
RNAcentral lists this unclassified non-coding RNA (286 nucleotides) under uncultured fungus. Its description in RNAcentral is "sequence contains ITS1, 5.8S rRNA gene". The stretch from base 238 to 286 matches the Rfam family "5.8S ribosomal RNA", at positions 1 to 49 of the family's 154-position model. The record is from RNAcentral. Lineage: Eukaryota; Fungi.